CACGAGGCAAACUUGCAUAUGACCUGAUCCCUAACCUCUCCCCCAAUACCAACCGAAGGGACCUCUUUCCCCAACCACCCGACGACCCGGGCGGCCGUCUCUGACCAGACUCUGUGAUGUCGCCACCCUCAACCCCCGUCGUGAAUCCUCCUCUAGCAUUGGACCGGCGCAAUCCCACCUCAACUUCCCCUCCCUACGACCUUUCCGUCAAACCUUCCUACCAGUUCUUCGCCUUCUUCAGUAGAAUCAUCACCACAAGGAUAGGAGGCUCGAUCGCCGCCGGGGUCUGCUGCUGCG
This 297-nucleotide long non-coding RNA is filed under the name Hordeum vulgare. Its description in RNAcentral is "long non-coding RNA (HVUL_LNC015725)". Lineage: Eukaryota; Viridiplantae; Streptophyta; Magnoliopsida; Poales; Poaceae. The record is from RNAcentral.